This 250-nucleotide ribosomal RNA is filed under the name uncultured beta proteobacterium. Its description in RNAcentral is "partial 16S ribosomal RNA". It matches the Rfam family "Bacterial small subunit ribosomal RNA", at positions 524 to 773 of the family's 1533-position model. Lineage: Bacteria; Pseudomonadati; Pseudomonadota; Betaproteobacteria. The record is from RNAcentral.
UACGUAGGGUGCGAGCGUUAAUCGGAAUUACUGGGCGUAAAGCGUGCGCAGGCGGUUCGUUAAGUCAGAUGUGAAAGCCCCGGGCUCAACCUGGGAACUGCAUUUGAAACUGGCGGGCUUGAGUGUGGCAGAGGGGGGUGGAAUUCCGCGUGUAGCAGUGAAAUGCGUAGAGAUGCGGAGGAACACCGAUGGCGAAGGCAGCCCCCUGGGCCAACACUGACGCUCAGGCACGAAAGCGUGGGGAGCAAAC